This 72-nucleotide transfer RNA is filed under the name Phrynosoma platyrhinos (Desert horned lizard). Its description in RNAcentral is "tRNA-OTHER". Lineage: Eukaryota; Metazoa; Chordata; Lepidosauria; Squamata; Phrynosomatidae. The record is from RNAcentral.
UGCAGUGUGGCCUAGUGGUUUGAGUGGUGGACUAUGACUCUGCAGUCCAGGGUUCAAUUCCCAGCUCGGUCA